Long non-coding RNA from Haliotis rufescens (red abalone), 175 nucleotides. RefSeq lists it as uncharacterized. The record is from RefSeq and is a predicted model, not a curated record. The transcript has 3 exons. NCBI's taxonomy places the organism in Eukaryota, Metazoa, Mollusca, Gastropoda, Lepetellida, Haliotidae.
AUAACACAGCCGAGAAAGGGAAAAUCUUCACUGCCAAGAUGUCAGUGUUCUUCUAUGGAAGUCUUUGCGUGUGUUUAUCUUUUGGUGCAUGGAGUCUGCCAGGAACUGUUAUCCAGGCUGCAAUAGGAAUUGGUGGAGCUUGUUCAGGCCCUGUACUUGGCGUAUUCCUUCUGGG